CAAUAGCGUAUAUUAAAGUUGUUGCAGCUAAAAAGCUCGUAGUUGGAUUUCUGUGAGAGUGCCGGUGUCGGCUGAUGCUUGUACGCAGGCGCUCUUACAUCCUUCUGUUAACUGAUCUUGGCAUUUUAUUGCUGGUUCAGGGCUCAGAUAUUUUACCUUGAGAAAAUUAGAGUGUUUCAGGCAGGCUUAUGCCGGAAUACAUUAGCAUGGAAUAAUGGAACAGGACCUGUGCGUCUUUCGGGGCGCCGGUCUCCGUUAUUGGUUUCGGGGACUAAAGUAAUGAUUAAUAGGGAUAGUUGGGGGCAUUAGUAUUUAAUAGUCAGAGGUGAAAUUCUCGGAUUUGUUAAAGACUAACUUAUGCGAAAGCAUUUGCCAAGGAUGUUUUCAUUAA
RNAcentral lists this ribosomal RNA (391 nucleotides) under uncultured eukaryote. RNAcentral's name for it is "partial 18S ribosomal RNA". It matches the Rfam family "Eukaryotic small subunit ribosomal RNA", at positions 592 to 976 of the family's 1831-position model. The record is from RNAcentral.